UUAGAGGAAGUAAAAGUCGUAACAAGGUUUCCGUAGGUGAACCUGCGGAAGGAUCAUUAAAAGUAAUAAGUGCUCCCCGCGCGUAUUAUGAAACCCAUCUGUGUACCUUACCUGUUGCUUCCGUGGGUGGAUGGCUACGGCCGCACCCGCCAAACGUGGCGGACCCACGGGAGGUCUACAUCAAAACUUUGCUUGCAAUGAUAUCUGUCUGAAUUGUCUCAAUGAGAAAAGUUAAAACUUUCAACAACGGAUCUCUUGGUUCUCGCAUCGAUGAAGAACGCAGCGAAAUGCGAUAAGUAGUGUGAAUUGCAGAAUUCAGUGAAUCAUCGAAUCUUUGAACGCACAUUGCGCCUCCUGGUAUUCCGGGAGGCAUGCCUGUUCGAGCGUCAUCAAGGAAGGCUCAAGCAUGUUUGCUUGGACUUGGAGGAAGAGCGUGCCCUUUGGGUGGGUUCCCCUCUGAAAUUCAAUGGCGGAUGGUCCAUCUGGACACCGACGUAGUAGGAGCAAUCUCUCGUCGUGGCCUUGGAUUGUCCUGCCCACAAUCCCCUCAAAAAAAAAUAACCGUUGACCUCGGAUCAGGUAGGGAUACCCGCUGAACUUAAGCAUAUCA
Molecule: ribosomal RNA, 610 nt
Filed under: uncultured Pezizaceae
Lineage: Eukaryota; Fungi; Ascomycota; Pezizomycetes; Pezizales; Pezizaceae
Description: eukaryotic LSU rRNA
Rfam family: 5.8S ribosomal RNA (bases 236-389)
Source: RNAcentral